Molecule: ribosomal RNA, 500 nt
Filed under: uncultured bacterium
Lineage: Bacteria
Description: partial 16S ribosomal RNA
Rfam family: Bacterial small subunit ribosomal RNA
Source: RNAcentral
GACGAACGCUGGCGGCGUGCUUAACACAUGCAAGUCGAACGGGUCUGCCCUGUUUUUUGCGGGGUGGGUCAGUGGCGAACGGGUGAGUAACACGUGAGUAACCUGCCCCUCACUUCUGGAUAACCGCUUGAAAGGGUGGCUAAUACGGGGUGUUCUGGCUGUGCCGCAUGGUGUGGCUGGGAAAGAUUCACUUUUGUGGUGUUUUGGUGGGGGAUGGGCUCGCGGCCUAUCAGCUUGUUGGUGGGGUGAUGGCCUGCCAAGGCUUUGACGGGUAGCCGGCAUGAGGGGGUGGGCGGUCACACUGGGACUGAGAUACGGCCCAGACUCCUGCGGGAGGCAGCAGUGGGGGGUAUUGCACAAUGGGCGGAAGCCUGAUGCAGCGACGUCGCGUGAGUGAUGGAGGCCUUCGGGUUGUGAACCUCUUUCGCCGGUGAAGAAGGUCCUGCUCUUUGUGGUGGGGUUGACGGUAGCCGGGUUAUGAAGCGCCGGCUAACUACGUG